Molecule: transfer RNA, 75 nt
Filed under: Candidatus Ryanbacteria bacterium RIFCSPHIGHO2_02_FULL_45_17b
Lineage: Bacteria; Candidatus Ryaniibacteriota
Description: tRNA-Met
Rfam family: tRNA
About the family: Transfer RNA (tRNA) molecules are approximately 80 nucleotides in length. Their secondary structure includes four short double-helical elements and three loops (D, anti-codon, and T loops).
Source: RNAcentral
GCCAGCGUAGUUCAACGGUCAGAACAAGGGACUCAUAAGCCCUGGACAGAGGUUCGACUCCCCUCGCUGGCACCA